GUAUGAAAUGAGCCUCUAGCCCAAUUAG
RNAcentral lists this small nuclear RNA (28 nucleotides) under Arabidopsis thaliana (thale cress). RNAcentral's name for it is "snRNA_02815". The record is from RNAcentral. Lineage: Eukaryota; Viridiplantae; Streptophyta; Magnoliopsida; Brassicales; Brassicaceae.